UAGGGAAUUUUCGUCAAUGGGGGGAACCCGGGACGAGCAAUGCCGCGUGUGUGAAGAAGGUCUUCGGAUCGUAAAGCACUGUUGUAAGUGAAGAAUGCCAUAUAGAGGAAAUGCUAUGUGGGUGACGGUAGCUUACCAGAAAGCCACGGCUAACUACGUGCCAGCAGCCGCGGUAAUACGUAGGUGGCAAGCGUUAUCCGGAAUCAUUGGGCGUAAAGGGUGCGUAGGUGGCACGAUAAGUCUGAAGUAAAAGGCAACAGCUCAACUGUUGUAUGCUUUGGAAACUGUCGAGCUAGAGUGCAGAAGAGGGCGAUGGAAUUCCAUGUGUAGCGGUAAAAUGCGUAGAUAUAUGGAGGAACACCAGUGGCGAAGGCGGUCGCCUGGUCUGUAACUGACACUGAUGCACGAAAGCGUGGGGAGCAAAUAGGAUUAGAUACC
RNAcentral lists this ribosomal RNA (438 nucleotides) under uncultured bacterium. RNAcentral describes it as "bacterial SSU rRNA". It matches the Rfam family "Bacterial small subunit ribosomal RNA", at positions 355 to 786 of the family's 1533-position model. The record is from RNAcentral.